UCUCCGUAGGUGAACCUGCGGAGGGAUCAUUCACAUGAUUUACCUUAUAAACAAACUGUGAACUUUAUUAUCAUACUAUUCUUGUAGGGAUUAUUUUAUAAUCUUUUACAACGUCAUUCGAUGAACAUUAGAUAGUUGGCUUGUUUUUUUUAAUAAAAAACUUUCUCAGCUGAUUUGUUUGUUAGACUAAACAUCUAUUCAAUCAAUCAACCAAAAACAUAGAAUCAACUCUAUGCCCUGGAUAUCUUGGUUCUC
RNAcentral lists this unclassified non-coding RNA (255 nucleotides) under plant metagenome. RNAcentral's name for it is "partial contains small subunit ribosomal RNA, internal transcribed spacer 1, and 5.8S ribosomal RNA". The record is from RNAcentral.